GUAAAGAAAACUAAAAGAAAAUGGUCGAUCAAUACGACGACCCAUUCAUGCCACAUCGUGGCACGAUUGCCCAUAUCAACUUACAAUGACAGAUAUGUAUAAUUAACCAUCUCAUUUACCACAGAUUACCAUGGAUGUAGGUACGCCAGUUGCAAAUACGCAACGGGCCUGCCCCAGCGCCCCGAACGGUAGUUGCAACAGCAUCGGCUGCUGCUCCGGCAACCACGCCAGCAACCGCAUCGGCAACAACGCCGGCACCUGUACAGGUAACCGCGCCUGCAGCGGUACCUGCAUCCGCGCCUCGUGGUGGCACCCGACCACCACCGAUCACAUCGAGGAUUUCGGAGACCCGUCAGAUAAGGUGGCCCAUCUGUCGACGCCCACACCGUCUGCAUCAUUGUGGCAUAUUUCGGGGUAUGCGACCCGUGCAACGGCAGCAAGUUGCCUGCGAACCGACACCGCCCUAAACUACGUGUCAACCAAAGAAAAAUCCCGGGAGCGUCGGACUCAAAUUGAGCGGCUCAUUGGGCAGCGUCUGUCUGCAAGUCAGGAGCGGCUGAACUAUCCAACUACAAUCGGAAAUUGGAAAGAAAUUCUUAUAAAACGGAUACCAGUUUCUAAGCCAAGUAAGACUCUGGUAAAAAUCAACUGGACACAGUUCUCGAAAAUUUUACACUGGAGCUGACAGGCGUAGUAUUCGGCGACUUUAGUAAGCGGAGUGAAAUCUUGCUGAAACGGCUUGCCGGCUUAUGUUACAAAUGCCUUCCGUCCCCACUAAAACCCCGGCAAGGCCUCAAGGUACGUUCGAUGCUUGCCGUCAUUUAGUUGGCGCUGCAAUUUCGGUUGAGCGUUGCUCCCGAUUAACGCUGAUCUGGCACUAAACUUCGGUGCCCAUAAGGACCUAAGUCAACCCUUGCAUAACCUCCCUGCACUGCAAAGAUAACCACGGGAUCAUCACAGCGAUUGCACAUAGCGAGCAGAGAUAGCGGCCUUGAGGGGGGACCCAAUUAAAUGAACACCACAAAUCAUAAUAAUGACACCGAAUUUGAAAAUGUAAACGAGCACAUGGUCUUUAGGCGAAGCUCAAAUGUUAUGCGAACACCGCCGCUGCAUACCAACCACGAAAGCAGCACAGCAGCAGGGGCUGAACAAGACAAGCAGCAAGAAGUAACUCCUAUGGCGAGAAAAACAAUUACUGCAGGAAAUAUGCCAGUCUUUUAUCAACUCGGGGAUUAGAUUGGCAAUCUGGUUGCAAUGCUUGAGGAUGGAAAGAGACGAUCUAUCCACCAAGCUAUGAGGGACACCAUAGGACGGAUAACCUCAUUGUAUGAGCUAGCUGCCUCUGAGCGUGCUACUAAACUAAGCCCCGGUGAAAGGAGGGAAAACACGUCCCAAACUUCGCCGUGGUUUGUGAUCGCAAUCCAAGCGAAGAGGAAGCUCGAAAACGGGAAAAGGAUUCAAGGAGUAAAAGACGAAACGACUGUGUUGAAAUGCAAUAAACGCAAAUACCUGAAAGUGUGGCACCUCCCUCAGAAAAACAGGCAACUGAAUGGGAACUGGUGAAAAACAGACGUAAUAAGCCGGAACUGAAAAAAACGGAACCAGAGAUACCGAAACGGAAGCUGAAGCGCACGGAAGCUCUGGUGAUUUCGAAGACCAGAGACAUGUCGUACGCAGAUAUGCUAAAGAAAAUGAAAUCAGACCCCAGACUUCAAGACCUCGGUGAUAGCUUGAGCAAAGCAAGGAGAACAGCUAAGGGUGAACUUCUGCUAAAGCUCAAAGCAAAAACGAAAGAGCCUUCUAAAAAACUCAGGGAACGCGCAAUAGAGGUCCUAAAAGAUAUGGCAGAAGUACUAGCACAAGCAAUUACACAAGAAAUUAGAGACUUAAACGAGGCAACGACAGCCGAGGAAGUAUGUAUGUCCAUAAAUGACAAAUUUCCUGACGAAGAAAAUCUAGAACAUAGUGCCAUCAAAUCCAUGCGACGGCUUAAGGACGAAACGCAAAUUGCCAUUAUUGUCCCUUUGGCAAUAUCAAAAAAAAUCCUUGACGCAAAUAAAAUAAAAAUAGGUUGGGUUAAUUGUAGGGUUCGAGAAAUUACAGGACCAGUCCGAUGCGCGAUAUAUGACCGAACUCAAAGCAUUUAGAGUUCGGUCAUAUAUCGCGUAACUGCAAAAACAGGAAAGAUCUUGCUAUAGAUGUGGAGAAAAGGGGCAUGCCGCAAAAGGAUGCAAUAAAGAGCCUCUAUGUCUCUUAUAACCACAAGGGACGAAUAAGUACCCGACUGGUAGCUUUAGCUGCCCAGUUUAUAAAAAGGCCGCUGGAAAACCGCAAUGAUGAGGUAUCUCCAGUUAAACCUCAACCACUGUUCGGCAGCCCAAGCACUGCUGACAAAAACUGCCUCGGACCUUAACACAGACGUACUAUUACAUAGUGAACCGUAUAAGACCCCAAAAAAUGACAAAAACUGGAUUAAAGACAAAGAUUCAAAAUCUGCGAUAUGGACCUUUAACAACGUUCCUUUCGAAAAUACUCAAACCAUUAAAGAAAAAGGCUUCGUGUACGCAAAGAUAAAGGGCAUACAUUUCUACAGUUGCUACGCCGCUCCUAGUCUAUCCCUGACAGAAUUUCAGGAUAUGCUCUUUAGGCUCACAUCGCACGCAAGAGGAAAGACACCGCUAGUCAUCGCUGGUGACUUUAAUGCAUGGGCGGUAGAAUGGGGGAGUAUGAUCACUAACGCGAGGGGCACAGCACUUCUGUCGUCGCUUGCAAAUAUUGAUAUUAUACUCCUUAACAACGGACACAAGCCAACAUUUAUGAAAGGAAGAGCGUCAUCGUAUAUUGAUCUUACCUUCGUAAGCUCGUCGAUAGCAACGCAAACCGCAUGGAGAGUUUCAGACAUCUAUACACAUAGUGACCAUUGAGCCAUAAUCUUUAAUAUCAUUAUACAGAAUAAGUAAAACUCUGGUAUUUUCGCACCUAAAAACAUAAUAAGACGCUGGAAAACAGAAACCUGUGAUACAGAAAUGCUGGAAUUCGCCAUUAGCCAAGUAAAAGAGGAUCUACUAGGGAACGCUCAGAACAAGACAAAGCACAUCACAAAAUCAUUUGUAAUGGUAGCCGAUGCCACGAUGCCACGAAGAAAAGACGGAAGAAACAGAGCCCCGCUAUACUGGUGGUCUGAAGAAAUCGCGCAACUGAGAGCUGAAUGCCUCAAGUUUCGACGUAGACAGCAUCGUGCUACAGGAAAAGGUGACUUUGCAGAACUUCUUAUAAACUUUCGGAAAAAAAGGAAAGAACUGCAUAAGGUCAUAGCCAACACCAAAGAAAUGCCUUUAACCAACUUACCUCAGAAGUAGAUAACGACCCUUGGGGAAAAGCCUACCGAAUUGCAAUGCAGAAAAUAGGUAGAUCAAAAACACCACCUACAUCUCCCGCAAUUUUACGUAAGAUAGGCCAUAGUUUAUUCCCAAGAUGCGAGCCUAUGAAAGUGCCAAUUUCGCUGAAGUGUCCCACGAAGAAAUACAACAUGCGGUGAAAAGAAUCAAGAUUGGCAAAUCACCCGGCCCGGACGGAAUACCCAACUUCCUAACUAAGCGUAUCAUCCAAAGAAAGCCAAAAUUGUUCCAAAACGCAUACACAAGCUGCUUGAAGGAAGGGACCUUUCGCAAAUGUUGGAAGCGUCAACGCCUCGUUCUUCUCCCCAAAGGUGAUAAACCUCCAGAAGAACCCUCGUCAUAUCGGCCCUUAUGUAAGCUUGAUACGGCUGGAAAAGUUUUCGAAACAACUAUUCGUAAGCGGCUAGAGAAAUAUACCGAAGGAGACUCUGGGUUGAAUCCAAUGCAGUUCGGUUUCCGGAAAGGACGUAGCACAGUAGAUGCGAUAAAUGCGGUCACCAAAAUAGCGGGUAAAGCACUGGAAGGGAGUAGAUGGCGUUGGGGUGUUAAAGGUCCCGGACUACCUCUUCCGAAUUGUGGCAAGCUACUUUGAAAACAGAGUAUUAGUGUACGAGACAGAAUGUGGACCUGAAACAUAUAAAGUAACAGGCGGCGUUCCGCAAGGGUCAGUCCCAUCCCUGUACUCUGGAACGUGAUGUACAAUGGAAUUCUGAGAGUCCCGAUGCCUGAGGCGGUAAAAAUAGUAGGAUACGCGGACGACAUUGCGGUCAUAGUAGUAGCAAAAACCCUAGACGAAGCGAGAUACAAGUGUACUGAAAGCAUUAACAAUAUUAAAAAAUGGCUCGAGACAGCUGGCUUACAGCUAGCUGCACACAAAACUGAGGUGGUUUUAAUGAGCAGCCGAAAAACAGUGAAAUCAAUUGAGAUAUGUAUUGAUGGGCAUACCAUAAAGUCAAGCCCACAUCUCAAAUAUCUUGGAGUAAUCCUAGAUCAUAGACUCUCUUUUAAGCAGCACCUAAUUUCCACAUACAUCAAAGCGGCGAGAUCUAUAGGCAAUAGCAAGAAUAAUGUCCAAUAUGCGAGGCCCCAAACAACUAGUCAGAAAGCUGCUGACAAGCGUCAGUAGCUCCAUCAUUCUGUACGCGGCGCGAAUUUGGAUAUCUGCUAUUAGACAUAGCUCGUAUAUGAGAGGAGUUGCUUCGGUACACAGACUGGCGUAACUGAGAACUUGCUGUGCAUUCAGAACAGUAUCGCAUGAUGCAAUCCAAGUUAUAUCGGGAAGACUCCCCAUAGACAUAGCAGGUGAGCGUUGCUCAUCAGUCCGAGAUAUGAGGGCUAACAUAUCACCCAACCAAUAUAGACAAGACCUGAUAAAAAUCGACGAGAAAUGCCUCCGGAAAUGGCAGGAGAGAUGGAAUAACUCAACGAAGGGAAGGUGGACCCACUCUCUGAUACCCAACGGGAUUAUGGGGAGGUGAACUACUACCUUACGCAGUUUCUAUGUAUCUGGCCACGGCUGCUUCAGAAGCUAUUUGCAUAAAUUCAAGCAUGUGGAAUCUCCUCUCUGCAUGCACUGCGAAAAUUACAUUGAAACAGCAGACCACGUACUGGUGGAAUGUGUCCGCUUCCAAAAGGAAAGGCAAAUACUUUCCAAUAAACUAGGAAAGACCCUACCCAUACGUUCAAGGGACGUAGUAAGUUUUAUGCUAACUUCCCAUCUAGCAUGGGAUAUUGUAUGUGGGAUAAUAGCGUAUAUUAUGCAAAAGGUUCCAGAAGACGAAAUCGCUGUAAGACCGAGAGUGCAGUCCCGAGAUGCUGCAAACCUAUGACACCAUAAGAACAUAAAUAUAAAGGAGCUGUUAUAUACAUAAACAAUACCUGCCCUGCGAAGGAAAGCCUACAGGUAGUUCCGCAGGGAAACACAGGUCUGUGGGCAAGGGGUGCUUUAGCACGUAUGCGCUUUAUGCGAAUCGGGCAUAAUUGUUGGUACGGGCCAACAGUAUAUUUUGAAGAUUUACACCCACCUUUGGCGUAUCCAUAAAAAAAACCACACAUAAUUAACAAAAGGGACCGACGGACAGCGCCCGGCCUCUUUUGUUCUCUAUCCGAGCGCAUACAUGUUUCAACAUCGCGAUCGCUGAUCAACACAUAGUUUUGCUUCCAAACCAGUUCUACGAAUUCGUCAAAAAGUCAAUCUCAAUACGAAACUGAUGAAGAAGAAUUAGCUCUGGAAAAAUGCUCGAUUUUAAAGAAAAAUAAAAGGCCUAGAAAAAAAGCGUCAGUCCGACGCUCCACCAGAAGUGAUCUUAAAAGAAAAUACUUUUUCAUCGAACGGUGAAAACCACACAGUUAAAAAUGAAAAACCGAAAUAUGAACCGCGGCCUCCACCUAUUAAAAUUUCGAAUAUUUCUUGUUAUAAAGAACUAAACAACCUAAUUAAAGAUAAUACGAAAAGUUCAUUUGUAUUUAAACUAUUAAAUAACGACAUUCAUAAAAUAAGCGUUACAUCAGGUGAUGACUACAGAUCAGUGACAGAAAUGUUGUCUGCGUCGGGAGCUUCAUGGUAUUCCCUUGAAGACAAAGAAACGCGCCCAAUAAAGGUUAUAACUAAAAAUCUCCACAAUUCGUGUAGCUUAGUGGUAUUAUCGCUGAUUUAAAAGAACCGGGUUUAAAUGUUAUGAAAGUCGGAAUUAAACUCAAGUGGAAAAUACGAUAACCUUUAAACAUGA
Bactrocera tryoni is the source of this 6127-nucleotide long non-coding RNA. RefSeq lists it as uncharacterized. The record is from RefSeq and is a predicted model, not a curated record. The transcript is spliced from 2 exons. NCBI's taxonomy places the organism in Eukaryota, Metazoa, Arthropoda, Insecta, Diptera, Tephritidae.